UUGCUAGGAAAAGAGCUGUGGGAGACUCAGAAGCCGAGGACAGACGUUCCUGGUUUCUCCUAGCGUGCUUUGCUUUCUCCGGGUGCCUCAAAGCCAAGCGUUGACCUCCACCUCGUGGUUCCACGGUGGCUGCUCCUUGAAAGGCUUGGUGAUGUACUGCACUCGGAGAGAAGAGAAGGUGACAAAUGUGGAUGCUAGCCAGAUUUUUCUUUUCUUUUCUAUUUUCCUUUUUUUUUUUUGGUACCAGGAAUCGAACUCAGGUCCUUGCGCUUGCAAGGUGAAACUCGGGAGAACUGUGAGCAAAUGGAAAACCGAACACUUCCGAACUGCGAUCUGCCCAGGGCAGCAGGAAGAAAACCAGCUCGUUCAGCGCCAGCAAAUGCAGCUCAGGCUGCAGUCUUCCAGAGCCAGGAUCAGGAGCCUGCUGGCUGCAGAUCUCUGCUCCUCUGAGAAGAGCAUCAUUUCCUCUCCCUCCCCUCCUAAGGGUGACCGGUAUAAACCCUGCUCAGAGCAAUUUUAGCUUCCCCCUGUAGCUUAGAUUUCGCAUUUUAUGUUUGUUUCCGAAGUUUUCUUCCAACCCAAAUAAACACAGGCUCAGAAAUGAAGGGACUCGGGUUAUCAUUAUCUGAUUCUCCAGGGGCUGGACACCGAGGCUGGCCCCACUGGGCUGUGGGUGAUCUGGCAAGUGUGCCUGCUUCAAGGAGGGUCCUAGCAGCCAGGAAGUGGGUAGCUGUGGGCUGGGGUCACUCAGUGUCCUCACCUGUCACCUGUAGCUCCUGCAGGGAGUGAGCCACUUCUGGGCUUUCCCUACCCUUUAAGGUAGCACUACAUAGAAUCUUUCAGGAUUUUCUAUUCACAUUACAUUUAGCCUUUCUAUUUGUGUUCCCCCUCCCAUGCUGUGGGCAUUAUUACCACCCCCAAUGAAAGGAAGCACAUUCCAUUCAUUCAUUCAUUCAUUUGGAGCAUCUACUGCAUGACUGGUUCCAUGCCUGGUCCGGUACUUGAAAGCCCCUGCCCACAGGGCAAUUCAUGUCUAUCAAGAAAGCUAAUGAACUACUAAGUACAAGAGUUAGCUAAUUUAUAAGUCAAUGCAGAAUUGAAUAGAAUACAUUGUGUUUAUUGUAAUUACGCUUAAUAAAGUAAUUGUGUUUAUGACUACAUGACCACUCUCAUAUAAUACUUACUACAUGCUGGGUGGUAUCCUAAGCACUUAGUAUAUUAACUCAUUUUAUGUGUCUCUAUUUUACAGAUGGGGGAACUAAGAAACUGAAAGAUUAAAUAUGUAUUGGAAGUUCUACAGCAGUUUACUGCUGGGGGAUUUGAAGCUCAGCUAUGUAGAUGUUCAGAAUCAUCUCGAACCACACACUCUACUCUG
Long non-coding RNA from Heterocephalus glaber (naked mole-rat), 1375 nucleotides. RefSeq lists it as uncharacterized. NCBI's taxonomy places the organism in Eukaryota, Metazoa, Chordata, Mammalia, Rodentia, Bathyergidae. The record is from RefSeq and is a predicted model, not a curated record.